RNAcentral lists this ribosomal RNA (522 nucleotides) under Triticum aestivum (bread wheat). RNAcentral's name for it is "partial small subunit ribosomal RNA". The record is from RNAcentral. Lineage: Eukaryota; Viridiplantae; Streptophyta; Magnoliopsida; Poales; Poaceae.
AUGGCCCAGAAGGAGGAGAGUUCUGCUCCGCCGCAGCAUGCAGCGGCGGACGCACCGUCAUUGGAGACGGUGAUCCAGAUGCACGUCCAGGGCACCGCUUACGAAGAAUCCGACCGGCCGGCCGAGACAGCCACCGUCAAGAAGCAUCGGCUUGGCGACGCGUACGUCUCUUUCAUCCUGGCCAUGCCAAUGGAGAAGCCGGAGUACCUAGACACGCCGUCCUACCUCUGGCAGGAAAACAUGGCGGAGAUCCUGGGCGUGACGGAGGACUGCCUCGAGGAGCAAAGGCAGCUGUACAAGGAACGCGUCCUCCGUUCCCAGAGGAUCCACGAUCACUACCUGAAGUUCCAGGUCCGGGUCCGCGACGAGUGGCUCCGGAAGGGCUAUGUCGAGGUGGACGACGACUACUUCACCGUCACGGCAACAAUGUGGAAAGAGGCCAUGCCAAUGUGGGAAGACCCUGCGCUCACAUUCAAAGACUACGACUACGAGGAGCAGGCCAGGUGCUUCCUCGAUCUAUGA